UCCCUCAGUGACAUUCACUUGCUCUA
This 26-nucleotide non-coding RNA is filed under the name Rattus norvegicus (Norway rat). Lineage: Eukaryota; Metazoa; Chordata; Mammalia; Rodentia; Muridae. The record is from RNAcentral.